AUCUAAGUAGCUUAAAAAAUUAAAGCACAGCACUGAAGAUGCUGACAUAGGGGACUCCCUCAUAGAUA
This 68-nucleotide transfer RNA is filed under the name Scapholeberis mucronata. Its description in RNAcentral is "tRNA-Phe". It matches the Rfam family "tRNA". Rfam says of the family: Transfer RNA (tRNA) molecules are approximately 80 nucleotides in length. Their secondary structure includes four short double-helical elements and three loops (D, anti-codon, and T loops). The record is from RNAcentral. Lineage: Eukaryota; Metazoa; Arthropoda; Branchiopoda; Diplostraca; Daphniidae.